Dreissena polymorpha is the source of this 3435-nucleotide long non-coding RNA. RefSeq lists it as uncharacterized. The transcript has 4 exons. Lineage: Eukaryota; Metazoa; Mollusca; Bivalvia; Myida; Dreissenidae. The record is from RefSeq and is a predicted model, not a curated record.
UAUUAAUGCUACGGACAAUCCUUUGCGUCCUUUUUAUUACUUUAUUGGACCGUUAGCAGACAGACCGUUAUGGGCUGGACCGCCUUGACCAAAAUUUCGAUCCAGGAUUUAAAAUGGCGUCGGUUGGAUGAUUUCGGUUAAGGUUGGAACAAGUUGUUUUCUUCUGGACAUGGAAAACUACAUGAAUGAAGGAAAGGAUGCACGUUUGCCAUUCUUAAAAAAGUGGUCCACCUUUGUUCAGACUUCCUGUUCUGCAAGUUCAGUGACUAUAUGCCGCAUUGGGGUGAUACCUUAAAUGAGUCUGCUGUUGAUAUGAACAACAUGGAUCUUUCUGACGAUGGUGAAGUGGAGAUGGUGGCGACAGAAGAUGACACUGCAAGUUAAGCCUAGGAGGAAUCCACACCAGGGAAGCUCUCAAAAGUCUGCUAAGAAGAGGACAUAGCAAGCUGUCCACCAUUAAAGAGAACUUAUAUUCACUGCUGUCUACAGCUAAAGCAUUGAUGAUGGGGUGGCAACACAAUACUGUUCAUCAGGGAAAGCAGAAGCGUAUCACCUUUGUUAGGGCUGUUUUUGACCUGAUUUUAUAGCCGAAAUCGGCUAUAUUCCCAAUAGCAAAAAGUAUACUUUUUUCCCAAAAUUUGCUAAAAAAAUUCUUAAUAGCCUUAUAGGGGAAAAAACGCUAAUGACAUCGGCUGUUUCGCUUUUUAACAAAGCGUAGUCCGAUCCUGUUUCGUACAGAUUUUAGACUAUACCUUGAUUUGGAUAAAGUCGGCAUAAUUCGUGUACAAGAUAUUCUCAAUUUUGUACAGGCGCUUAUUAUAUUUGCAAUUAAAUUUAAGCGUUUUGUGAUUUGGCUGCAUGGAAAACAAAUAUGUCGCACAAUUAGAAAUAUAACGUGAAAAAGAUUCCUAAGCAAAACCUUGGCGGCAAAACGAAAACUGUUGAUUUUAUUGAGCAAUCGUCAUUAUAUAAACAAACAUCAUCAAGAGGUACAAGUCUUCCAAUUGAAACUCAUUCCAUUGUUAAUGAUAGUGAUUUAAUAACAAGUGACUCUUUUGCAUCAUCAUCUUUGAUUUCCGAAAGCAAAGCGCUGACUGAUAUUCAACAUGUUGAAAGCAGCAGUUCUUCAGAAGAAGAUGAAGCGCCUCCUUAUAAAUGGUGCCUGAUGUGACUGAUGACUUUGUGUGAGCUUAUUAUGUGGAAAACUGUUGAUCAAGGUUGAUCAUGAUGGUGUUUGUGAUUACAUGUAAAGAUGCUGAACUCAUUCAUGUAGUUAUAAAUCCCAACUUAUUUUCCCAAUGUCUUGAAAAUGCCGAUAAAAUUCCCAAUUUCAAAGCCAUGGGCUAUCUUCCCUAAAAAGCUGAACAAAGCACUAUUUGUUGACAAAGUGAGAUUCGACAGGUAAGGCCUGCCAUGCCACUUGCCCCUGCAGACAUGUUAUGAUUCUAACAACAAAGUGCAUUUCAUUUGGUGGAGGUAGAUAUUUUGUGUACUGUAAACUUUUAAUCAUUGUUAGAGAGGCUGUUUUCGGAGAAAACCCGAGGCAUUGUAAUAGCCUGCUCGCCGUCCGCCGCUGUCGUGCUAAAACCUUUACAUUGGCUCUAAAAUCGAAGCGCGUCCACCAACAACUUUGAAACUUCAUAUGUAGAUGCACCUUCAUGAGUUCUACAUGUCACACCCAUUUUGGGUUACUAGGUCAAAGGUCAAGGUCACUGUGACUUAAAAAAAAAAAUCUGACAAGCUUUCGCAGCCGAGCGUGUCACCUGUUAUGCGGUGCUCUUGUUUUUUUAUAAAUAGUGGUUUGAUAUUUUAUAAAUGUCAUUUUUACUAGCUUGAUCUUUUCUGUCCUAUUGUAUUUAAAGUUCAAGUUUGGACAGUUUUUAUUUGAUUGGUUUUAGUUUUUAUGCCCCCGAAGAAGGGCAUAUAGUAAUUGGACUGUCCGUCCGUCCGUCUGUCCGUCACACUUUGCGUUUAGGUUUCGAAAAAUGCUCAUAACUUCUAUGUCCCUUGAGAUGCAACCUUCAUAUUUGGUAUAUAUGGACAAGGCCUUUCUUAACGCACACACAUUUUGACCCCUUUGACCUUGAACUCUGCAUUUAGGUUUCCAAAUCUGGUUUAGUUUUCGAAAAAUACUCAUAACUUUUAUGUCGCUUCAGAUGUAACCUUCAUAUUUGCUAUGCAUGUGUAUAUGGACAAGGCCUUUUCAUGUGCACACAAAUUUUGACCCCCUUGACCUUGAACUUAGGCAAUAGGAUUCGCGUUUAGGUUUCAAAAAUGCUCGUAACUUCUAUCAAAGCGUUUUUCGGGGGCAUAUGUCAUCCUAUGGAGACAGCUUUGUUUAUUUCCUAUAAUAUGUUUGAGUAGUCAGGAGAAACAAUGAAGUUUUGUCCAUACUAUAUAUAUUAAAAUUGUGGCAGAAUUGUUUAUUAAUGCAAUUACAAAUUGCAGCAAAUGCAUCUGUUAAAGAACUUAGGAUGCUUAUAAUUGAUGUAAAGAUUGUUUUAUUUAAAUAUUGCAUUUUUAAAAUGACUUCACAUGUGUAAAAAAAUGUAUUGUAUUUAAUUUUUAGAACUAAUUUAAGUUAGUCAUAAAAAAUGAAUCAUUCACACUAUUUCAUAUAUUUCUAACCUACUGACUGGUGGAUUGAGUACAUAAUAGUUGGAAUUUCACUACUUGAAGGUUUGCACAUCUUUUUUAGCUCGACUAUUAUAUAUGAAAUACAUAUAGUGGAGCUAUCCUACUUGCGUCGGCUUUUCCGUUACCGUUAGCGUGCAAAUGUUAAAGUUUUCGUACUACCCCAAUUAUUUUCCUUGUCCCUUGACAUAUUGCUUUCAUAUUUUGCAUACUUGUUUACCAACUUGACCCCAACAUAUAAACAAGAUAAGACAACUCUAUCAAGCAUUUUGUCAUAAUUAUGGCCCCUUUUACACUUAGAAUAUGCAGCAAAUGUUAAAGUUUGCGUACUACCCCAAAUAUUUUCAUUGUCCCUUGACAUAUUGCUUUCAUAUUUUGCAUACUUGUUUACCAUCAUGACCCCAACAAGAGCAAACAACUGUAUCAAGCAUUUUGACAGAAUUAUUGCCCCUUUUAUACUUAGAAUAUGCAUAUAAUGGAUAAAUCUAUGUUAAAGUUUGCGUACUACCCCAAAUAUUUCCUAUAACCUUUGACAUAUUGCUUUUUUAUUUUGCAUACUUGUUUACCAACAUGACCCCAACCAAUAAACAAGAGCAGACCACUGUAUCAAGCAUUUUGGCAUAAUUACGGCCCCUUUUACACUUAGAUAAAACAACAUUUUGCUUAAAUUGCCAUAACUUCUUUAUUUAUGAUCACAUUUUAUUAUUACUUUGACAAAACAACACUUACCUGAAUACCACAAUGGAUUCCACUGAAACAAUACCCCACGCCCCUACCCAGAAUCCCUCCCCCCCAACUCCC